RNAcentral lists this ribosomal RNA (437 nucleotides) under uncultured Oscillospiraceae bacterium. RNAcentral describes it as "bacterial SSU rRNA". It matches the Rfam family "Bacterial small subunit ribosomal RNA", at positions 341 to 792 of the family's 1533-position model. Lineage: Bacteria; Bacillati; Bacillota; Clostridia; Eubacteriales; Oscillospiraceae. The record is from RNAcentral.
ACGGAAGGCAGCAGCGGGGAAUAUUGGGCAAUGGGGGAAACCCUGACCCAGCAACGCCGCGUGAAGGAAGAAGGCUUUCGGGUUGUAAACUUCUUUUAAGAGGGACGAACACAAUGACGGUACCUCUUGAAUAAGCCACGGCUAACUACGUGCCAGCAGCCGCGGUAAUACGUAGGUGGCGAGCGUUAUCCGGAUUUACUGGGUGUAAAGGGCGCGUAGGCGGAGCGGCAAGUCAGAUGUGAAAUCCAUGGGCUUAACCCAUGAACUGCAUUUGAAACUGUCGCCCUUGAGUGUCGGAGAGGUAGACGGAAUUCCUAGUGUAGCGGUGAAAUGCGUAGAUAUUAGGAGGAACACCAGUGGCGAAGGCGGUCUACUGGACGAUAACUGACGCUGAGGCGCGAAAGCGUGGGGAGCAAACAGGAUUAGAUACCCUGGUA